GUCGAACGAAACUUCUUUAUCACCGAGUGCUUGCACUCACCGAUAAAGAGUUGAGUGGCGAACGGGUGAGUAACACGUGGGCAACCUGCCCAAAAGAGGGGGAUAACACUUGGAAACAGGUGAUAAUACCGCAUAACCAUAGUUACCGCAUGGUAACUAUGUAAAAGGUGGCUAUGCUACCGCUUUUGGAUGGGCCCGCGGCGCAUUAGCUAGUUGGUGGGGUAAAGGCUUACCAAGGCAAUGAUGCGUAGCCGAACUGAGAGGUUGAUCGGCCACAUUGGGACUGAGACACGGCCCAAACUCCUACGGGAGGCAGCAGUAGGGAAUCUUCCACAAUGGGCGAAAGCCUGAUGGAGCAACGCCGCGUGGGUGAAGAAGGUCUUCCGAUCGUAAAACCCUGUUGUUAGAGAAGAAAGUGCGUGAGAGUAACUGUUCACGUUUCGACGGUAUCUAACCAGAAAGCCACGGCUAACUACGUGCCAGCAGCCGCGGUAAUACGUAGGUGGCGAGCGUUAUCCGGAUUUAUUGGGCGUAAAGGGAACGCAGGCGGUCUUUUAAGUCUGAUGUGAAAGCCUUCGGCUUAACCGGAGUAGUGCAUUGGAAACUGGGAGACUUGAGUGCAGAAGAGGAGAGUGGAACUCCAUGUGUAGCGGUGAAAUGCGUAGAUCUUUGGAGAGAACACCAGUGGCGAAAGCGGCUCUCUGGUCUGUAACUGACGCUGAGGUUCGAAAGCGUGG
This 737-nucleotide ribosomal RNA is filed under the name uncultured bacterium. RNAcentral's name for it is "bacterial SSU rRNA". It matches the Rfam family "Bacterial small subunit ribosomal RNA", at positions 61 to 764 of the family's 1533-position model. The record is from RNAcentral.